This 511-nucleotide ribosomal RNA is filed under the name uncultured bacterium. RNAcentral describes it as "partial 16S ribosomal RNA". It matches the Rfam family "Bacterial small subunit ribosomal RNA", at positions 28 to 507 of the family's 1533-position model. The record is from RNAcentral.
GACAAACGCUGGCGGCAUGCCUAACACAUGCAAGUCGAACGGACAGAACAGGGAAGCUUUUCGGAGUGGAACUGGAAAGUUAGUGGCGGAUGGGUGAGUAACGCGUGGACAACCUACCUUGUAAAGGGGAAUAACCUCGAGAAAUCGAAGCUAAUACCCCAUAAUAACCUUGCUUCGCAUGAAGUAAGGAGGAAAGGCGGCCUUAGCGCUGUCGAUACAAGAUGGGUCCGCGUCUGAUUAGCUAGUUGGUGAGGUAAAGGCUCACCAAGGCGACGAUCAGUAGCCGGCCUGAGAGGGUGAACGGCCACAUUGGGACUGAGACACGGCCCAAACUCCUACGGGAGGCAGCAGUGGGGAAUCUUCCGCAAUGGGCGAAGGCCUGACGGAGCAAUGCCGCGUGAGUGAAGAAGGCCUUCGGGUUGUAAAACUCUGUCCUUAUCGAAGAGAGAGUGUUGUAGUAACUGACAAUACUAGGACGGUAGAUGAGGAGGAAGCCCCGGCUAACUAUGUG